RNAcentral lists this transfer RNA (69 nucleotides) under Ictidomys tridecemlineatus (thirteen-lined ground squirrel). Its description in RNAcentral is "Spermophilus tridecemlineatus (thirteen-lined ground squirrel) tRNA". It matches the Rfam family "tRNA". From Rfam's summary of the family: Transfer RNA (tRNA) molecules are approximately 80 nucleotides in length. Their secondary structure includes four short double-helical elements and three loops (D, anti-codon, and T loops). Further hydrogen bonds mediate the characteristic L-shaped molecular structure. tRNAs have two regions of fundamental functional importance: the anti-codon, which is responsible for specific mRNA codon recognition, and the 3' end, to which the tRNAs corresponding amino acid is attached (by aminoacyl-tRNA synthetases). tRNAs cope with the degeneracy of the genetic code in two manners: having more than one tRNA (with a specific anti-codon) for a particular amino acid; and 'wobble' base-pairing, i.e. permitting non-standard base-pairing at the 3rd anti-codon position. The record is from Rfam by way of RNAcentral. Lineage: Eukaryota; Metazoa; Chordata; Mammalia; Rodentia; Sciuridae.
GGGGUUGUGGCUCAGUGGUAGAGUGCUUGCCUAGCAUGUAUGAGGCCCUGGGUUCAAUCCUCAGUGCCA